Molecule: ribosomal RNA, 448 nt
Filed under: uncultured bacterium
Lineage: Bacteria
Description: bacterial SSU rRNA
Rfam family: Bacterial small subunit ribosomal RNA
Source: RNAcentral
GGUCCAGACUCCUACGGGAGGCAGCAGUGGGGAAUAUUGCACAAUGGGGGGAACCCUGAUGCAGCGACGCCGCGUGGGUGAAGAAGUAUUUCGGUCUGUAAAGCUCUAUCAGCAGGGAAGAAGAAAGACGGUACCUGACUAAGAAGCCCCGGCUAACUACGUGCCAGCAGCCGCGGUAAUACGUAGGGGGCAAGCGUUAUCCGGAUUUACUGGGUGUAAAGGGGGCGCAGACGGCAGCGCAAGCCAGGAGUGAAAGCCCGGGGCCCAACCCCGGGACUGCUCUUGGAACUGCGCGGCUGGAGUGCAGGAGGGGCAGGCGGAAUUCCUGGUGUAGCGGUGAAAUGCGUAGAUAUCAGGAGGAACACCGGUGGCGAAGGCGGCCUGCUGGACAUUAACUGACGCUGAGGCGCGAAAGCGUGGGGAGCAAACAGGAUUAGAUCCCCGAGUA